UUAUGUUUGAAUUGGUUUUUGAUGGUACGAAUAUAUUGGUGACGAAACUGCGAACACAGAGGGUGACGUAGGGAUUUCCCAACUACAGCCAAUCAGAACGGCUUUUAUAUUUUUGGUUUACUUCCGGUGACCGGGUACUCCCGAGGAAUUCCAUCAAAACAAACCAAAGUUUUAACUAUUAUUCUUCUAUUUAUUUUAAAGUGCUCUAACAUUUAAUUAAUUAAAGGUUAAAUUCCACAAAGCCUUGUACUUCAGGCUUCUGUGACAUUGAUUUUAUCCUGUUGCUGGCAUUUUGAAGAUUUAUACAGUUCACAGACAUGUAGACACAGCAUUUAACUAUCAGGUGGUUGAUAGUUAAAACGGAAGUAAAAUAUUUGAAAAUACAGUGUCAUAAAGCAAUCAUAAAGAAGAAAUACUCUUCCAUAGCAAGGAAAUAAACAGUCCGAUAUGAGUUAUUCAAGUGUACCUGCUACCGGUGCUAAAAAAGGAAGCAACUGGACUUACAAAAUUUAUUUCUCACCUGAAGCUGACAAAAGCUCUAGCUCUCAACAUGAAAUCGAAGAUGAAGAACUGAUUGUCAAACUUCAGACACUUUUGGAUGUCAACGAAA
Molecule: long non-coding RNA, 610 nt
Organism: Ruditapes philippinarum (Manila clam)
Lineage: Eukaryota; Metazoa; Mollusca; Bivalvia; Venerida; Veneridae
Exons: 4
Source: RefSeq, a predicted model, not a curated record